ACAGCAGAGUCUACACUGAACAUCAGAACAUAGGCUUGGAAGCAGCCAUUGUGUUUGGAAAGCGUAUUAGCUCACUGAUCUAGUAGUGCUCCGCUUAGUCAUGUUUGGUAAGAACUCUAGCCGAAGCUCACCUAUAAUACACCCAC
Molecule: ribosomal RNA, 146 nt
Filed under: Gonium pectorale
Lineage: Eukaryota; Viridiplantae; Chlorophyta; Chlorophyceae; Chlamydomonadales; Volvocaceae
Description: large subunit ribosomal RNA fragment L5
Source: RNAcentral